This 253-nucleotide ribosomal RNA is filed under the name uncultured bacterium. RNAcentral's name for it is "partial 16S ribosomal RNA". It matches the Rfam family "Bacterial small subunit ribosomal RNA", at positions 524 to 776 of the family's 1533-position model. The record is from RNAcentral.
UACGGGGGGGGCAAGCGUUGUUCGGAAUUACUGGGCGUAAAGGGCUUGUAGGCGGCCAACUAAGUCAGACGUGAAAUCCCUCGGCUUAACCGGGGAACUGCGUCUGAUACUGGAUGGCUUGAGUUCGGGAGAGGGAUGCGGAAUUCCAGGUGUAGCGGUGAAAUGCGUAGAUAUCGUAAGGAAGACCAGUGGCGAAGGCGGGUCUCUGGACAGUUCCUGACGCUGAGGCACGAAGGCCAGGGGAGCAAACGGG